Molecule: ribosomal RNA, 253 nt
Filed under: uncultured bacterium
Lineage: Bacteria
Description: partial 16S ribosomal RNA
Rfam family: Bacterial small subunit ribosomal RNA
Source: RNAcentral
UACGUAGGGACCAAGCGUUGUUCGGAUUUACUGGGCGUAAAGGGCGCGUAGGCGGCGCGGUAAGUCACUUGUGAAAUCUCUGAGCUUAACUCAGAACGGCCAAGUGAUACUGCAGUGCUAGAGUGUGGAAGGGGCAAUCGGAAUUCUUGGUGUAGCGGUGAAAUGCGUAGAUAUCAGGAAGAACACCGAUGGCGAAGGCAGCUCUCUGGGACGGUACUGACGCUGAGACGCGAAAGCGUGGGGAGCGAACAGG